GAUGAACGCUGGCGGCGUGCUUAACACAUGCAAGUCGAACGGAAAGGCCCAAGCUUGCUUGGGUGCUCGAGUGGCGAACGGGUGAGUAACACGUGGGUGAUCUGCCCUGCACUUUGGGAUAAGCCUGGGAAACUGGGUCUAAUACCGGAUAGGACCAUCGUUUAGUGUCGGUGGUGGAAAGUUUUUCGGUGUGGGAUGAGCUCGCGGCCUAUCAGCUUGUUGGUGGGGUAAUGGCCUACCAAGGCGUCGACGGGUAGCCGGCCUGAGAGGGUGUACGGCCACAUUGGGACUGAGAGACGGCCCAGACUCCUACGGGAGGCAGCAGUGGGGAAUAUUGCACAAUGGGCGCAAGCCUGAUGCAGCGACGCCGCGGGGGGGAUGACGGCCUUCGGGUUGUAAACUCCUUUCGCCAAGGACGAAGCGUUUUGUGACGGUACUUGGAGAAGAAGCACCGGCUAACUACGUG
RNAcentral lists this ribosomal RNA (466 nucleotides) under uncultured bacterium. RNAcentral's name for it is "partial 16S ribosomal RNA". It matches the Rfam family "Bacterial small subunit ribosomal RNA", at positions 28 to 507 of the family's 1533-position model. The record is from RNAcentral.